AGUGAACGCUGGCGGCAGGCCUAAUACAUGCAAGUCGAACGGCAGCACAGUGGAGCUUGCUCCAUGGGUGGCGAGUGGCGGACGGGUGAGGAAUACAUGGGAAUCUGCCCAGUCGUGGGGGAUAACGUAGGGAAACUUACGCUAAUACCGCAUGCGCCCUUCGGGGGAAAGCCGGGGACCUUCGGGCCUGGCGCGAUUGGAUGAGCCCAUGUUCGAUUAGCUAGUUGGCGGGGUAAAGGCCCACCAAGGCGACGAUCGAUAGCUGAUCUGAGAGGAUGAUCAGCCACACUGGGACUGAGACACGGCCCAGACUCCUACGGGGGGCAGCAGUAGGGAAUAUUGGACAAUGGGCGCAAGCCUGAUCCAGCCAUGCCGCGUGAGUGAAGAAGGCCCUCGGGUUGUAAAGCUCUUUUGUCCGGGAAGAAAAGCAUCGGGCUAAUACCUCGGUGUUCUGACGGUACCGGAAGAAUAAGCACCGGCUAACUUCGUG
This 490-nucleotide ribosomal RNA is filed under the name uncultured bacterium. RNAcentral describes it as "partial 16S ribosomal RNA". It matches the Rfam family "Bacterial small subunit ribosomal RNA", at positions 29 to 507 of the family's 1533-position model. The record is from RNAcentral.